UACGUAGGGGGCAAGCGUUGUCCGGAAUCAUUGGGCGUAAAGAGCGUGUAGGCGGCCCGGUAAGUCCGCUGUGAAAGUCCAGGGCUCAACCCUGGGAUGCCGGUGGAUACUGUCGGGCUCGAGUCCGGAAGAGGAGUGUGGAAUUCCUGGUGGUAGCGGUGAAAUGCGCAGAUAUCAGGAGGAACACCAAUGGCGAAGGCAGCACUCUGGGACGUGACUGACGCUGAGACGCGAAAGCGUGGGGAGCAAACAGG
This 254-nucleotide ribosomal RNA is filed under the name uncultured bacterium. RNAcentral's name for it is "partial 16S ribosomal RNA". It matches the Rfam family "Bacterial small subunit ribosomal RNA", at positions 524 to 776 of the family's 1533-position model. The record is from RNAcentral.